UACGUAGGGGGCAAGCGUUGUCCGGAAUCACUGGGCGUAAAGCGCGUGUAGGCGGAAGGGUAAGUCGACUGUGAAAGCGCCUGGCUUAACUGGGCGAGGUCGGCCGAAACUGCCCAUCUGGAGGCCGGUAGAGGGGGGUAGAAUUCCCGGUGUAGUGGUGAAAUGCGUAGAGAUCGGGAGGAAUACCUGUGGCGAAGGCGGCCCCCUGGGCCGCGCCUGACGCUGAGACGCGAAGGCUAGGGGAGCGAACGGG
RNAcentral lists this ribosomal RNA (253 nucleotides) under uncultured bacterium. RNAcentral describes it as "partial 16S ribosomal RNA". It matches the Rfam family "Bacterial small subunit ribosomal RNA", at positions 524 to 776 of the family's 1533-position model. The record is from RNAcentral.